AUGAAUAAUACACCUUUUAAUUUUGAGUUUCCUAAACCUGCAACACUAGUUGCCUUCGAACCGCCGCACAUCACCACCGACCUGCGCCAGAUCCAGCUUACCGUCAACAACCGCGUCGUCUUGCCGCACACAAACCACUACGCUCUCACACCGAUACGCGCCCUCUCCAAUCAGAAUUGCGGUGACAUGUGUUGA
This is a non-coding RNA of Vicia faba (fava bean), 195 nucleotides long. The record is from the annotation of a GenBank genome assembly. NCBI's taxonomy places the organism in Eukaryota, Viridiplantae, Streptophyta, Magnoliopsida, Fabales, Fabaceae.